Molecule: long non-coding RNA, 5592 nt
Filed under: Citrus sinensis (sweet orange)
Lineage: Eukaryota; Viridiplantae; Streptophyta; Magnoliopsida; Sapindales; Rutaceae
Description: long non-coding RNA (CSIN_LNC004176)
Source: RNAcentral
UUAUAUGUUCCUCGAAUAAUUCUUAUAAUCUCCUCUCCUGUGUAAAGGCAAAGGCUUCAACAAAUAUAUCGGUGAUAGCCUUGUCAUUUACUUCUGCCUUCGAAAAGAGAAAUAUGUCCAUCAUUUUGUACACACUCAGACCAUCGUAUGUUACCAUAAGAAUGGAACGACGCACCUUUUGGCAAGAUUAGUCUUAAUGUCUUAUCCUACUGAAAAUCCACAUGAAAAUAAGGGUUGCUAGUCCCAUUAGGUUUGGACUAAUCUCUUAGUCCUGAUAGUCAAAUAUAGCGUCGGAUGAGAAUUUUUUUUUUUUUUUUUUCAGUUCCAAAUCCCAUAAUCUAAUUCAAUCCCAUAAUUUAUCGUUAACCUCCGAAGGCAAGGCUGAAGAGGCAAAACAUAAUGAUGUAGCAGAUGCGUUGUUGCUUGAUUUCAUCAUCCAUGACGCACUCUCUGUAUCAGUACCACUUUUAUCGGCUGCUCCAAAGAGACAAUGACGAAUCCUCUGAUCCCAUUAUUAUUAAAAUUCUUUUCAAAAAAUGAACCACAAAGUAAGACGACUUAUACGACAUUUACAAAAACCGAAGCACAUGCAAGAAAAGAAAGUCGAUAACUGGCUAUUUAAUCUUUGAAAAUUGAAAGGUUAAUAAUGAAAAAUUCAGGUCAAAAUUGAACAUUUUCUAAGGUUCUCCGAGUUCAAGUUCAAUUUGGCUUCGCCUGAUAACUCCUACGAUAUUAACCUCUAAAUUUUACUGAUAUAAUGUUACAGCAGACAACUUUAUUUUUUAUUUUCUUUAAUGCCCCCUCUCGAACCAAAACCUUGGAAUCUUGGAUUGGUAUGGUACCUACCCUAAUUUUAUAUUUGUAUGUAAAUUUUCAGCCAGCAGGGAUCUUAAAAAAUUGUCAGAGGAAUUUGAUGUUCUAAAAGGGAAACAAAUUACGGAGACACUAGUCAAUUCUACCUCUACAUAUGUAGCCUAAUUAAUUAAAUUUAUUUGUGGAUGUUGUUUGUAUUGGAAAUGUUGAUUAUGCUUUCACAAUUGAGAAAUGUUGAUUAUGCUUUCACAAUUGAGAAAUGUUGUAUAUUCAAAUUCAUGCCUUCGACUUCCUCCAAUCUUAACUAAUUGAAGUUAUGCCAUAUUCGUCAUUCCCUUUGACUAUAAUUAAAACACCUUCAGUGAAGAUUAAAACGAUAUCUAUAUCCCUAAAUUUGGAGAAAUAAUUAUAUAAACUCUCAUAUUUUUAAUAAAGAAUAUUAAGACCCUCUUUUAACUAAAAUAACUAUAUAAAAAUUUAUUUUAAAGUCAAUAUUUUUAGUUGCUAUUUAUUAAGGAUAUUAUAGCUAAAACAGAGUCUUAAUGUCUCUUACUAAAAAUUUGGGAGGCUAUAUGACUAUUUUUCUAAAUCUUAGAGGUGUAAGAGUCUUUUUUCCUCAAUAAAGAUAAGACAUAUUGUAAUGAUUCAAUAUUGUGUACGAGUACAUUCUUGUAAUGAAACGAUUUGAGAUGCUUAUUGACAUCUAAAGUUUUAUUUUUUAUACAAAGCUAGCUUGAUCUAUUAAUUUCUGAAUUAUCAUCUUUGUAAAUUGCCAUUGCGUGUAUAUUUGAAGUUCCUAUUUGUAUUGACUAAUUAAUGGGAGUUCAGUUGUGCUUGUUCAAAACUUGGAAAGUUGCAUCAAAGCUACAACUUCUUCAAAUCAUCUGAAAUAGUUUAAGCAUCCACUUAAAUUUGGGAUAUAUAUAUGGAUUUUUCAAUGUUUGAUAGUAAAAAAAUUAAGAUAACGUGCCAUACGGCAAUUUUUUUAGUCUCUUCUAUCUUGUUUGUGUGAUCUGGUUUUAACACAAAAGCAGUCUUUCGUUCUUAAAGUUGUAUGAGAGGUGUGGUGAGAUAACAUUGUUUCUGAUCAAAUCACUGUGUAAGGCUCACUGUCGUAAAUACUCAUAGGCGGCUUUUCCCCUAGGCAACUUAGGCGGUUGCCUAGAACCCCACUAUAGAUGAGACACUACAAGAAAAAGGACCUACCAUGACAGGUAAAACUAUCAUAGUAGGGGGUGCAUGACAGUUGUUCAUACCGUCAUUAUAGCCAUCGUCAAGAAUUGAUGACAGAACAAUACCCGUCAUAGCCUGUGAUGGAUAUAACCAGUCACACAACUAUCAUAAGUUUAUUUAGAGGGAAAUAUAAUAAUUUUGAAUUUGACCCUUUUUUGUUCAUGCUAUAUUUUGAAUUUUUAGCUAGAAAUCUUAAAUUUGGCGCGAAAAUGAAAAUUAUAACUAAUUAAAUUUUUUUUUUACAAUUAAUUCUGAAAUUAAAUUUAUAAUUAAUAAAAAUGACUAUUUUGUUACUACCAUGAAAUGCUUAUCAUUUUAAUAAAUGCUUAUCAUUUUAAUAAAAAUCUUGCAAUUGAUUUAGAAAUUAAAAUUUCAUAAUUUAGUUAAUUAAUUAGAUUGUUAAAAUGAAUAUUGCAAUAAAAAAUUCACUGACAAAGAAAAUGAAAUGAAUAACACUGAAUAAUUAUCGAUAAUUAUCAACAAACAUAAUUUAACCAAAUACAAGUGACAAGUCCAACAUAAAUAGAACAAGUCCAACAUAAAUAGAAGAGUAUUGUAACAACAUAAAAACCAAAUUUCAGCAACAUGUAGAAGGCUAGCUGUUUUGAGACUAAUGAACCAUGAUCAGUCUGUUUCCAGCAACACAACAAAGCCAACAACACUGAUCAUACCAAAAAAAAAAAAUUCAUUCUAGCAAUUUUAGUGAAGCAUACAACAAAUACCAAUCUAAGAAGAAGCUAAAAUCGUGCAAAGAUGCACCAAUACUCAGGACAUGUUUUUGCAUCAAAGAAAAAAGAUGGCCAACUCCAGCAAUACCCACCAUCUUCAUCAAAUUCCAACAUAGCAAGUGUAACAAGCUAGGUAACUGCACAAGUAAAUAUAACAUCAUCAAAACAUGGUGGGGAAAAUGAUCUUAAAACAUCUCCCUAGCAAUUACCACAGACUUUUUUGAAAGCUCACUGAUGUGAUGCGACGGAGCUUCUUUUAUGAUAUGCACAGAUUUUUGGUUUGGCUUUGAGCACAAUCAAAAUCCAAAGAUAUAAGUGAAGCAAGCAAACAUGCAGCUAGCCGCUCUAAUUGCAUGCAUGUGUGCUACACUAACUAUUGAAUCCAAGUAAUACAUAGUAGAGGUUGUCAUAUCAAUUAUAAGAAUUCCAUAAGGUCUAAACAAAAGUGUAAGUAUAUAAGGCUGCAUUAAAGUAUUUACACAUGAAAUUAAUUGAAUAUGUAAAUAUUCAAUGAAGAAUAAGGCCAGACCCUUUUUUUCCCUUCUCUAAAGUAAGGCAUUAAAAAGGAUUGGAGAAAUUUAUGCAACAAAAUAAAUAAAAAUAUAAAUUAUUUAGUAUUAUUAGUUGUGUAUAACACCUACCACAUAGACAAAGCAUCCACAGUAAUCUUUGCGUUCUGCAGUUUCCUGUCAAUAAGUAAUGAUAUAUAAAUAAAAUUAAAAUCAAUAGCUAUAGCUGUAAUUCUUAGGCCAAAUCAAAUUUAUAUGUACUUAAGUUCAUGAUUCUUUAAGUUUUGUUCUCUUUAGCAUGCCUUCCUACUGGUAAUCAUCUCAUGCCUUAAUUAAAGUUUAAUACUGUUUUGAAUUAGAAUAUACCAAGAAUUUGAGUGAAUGCUAGAAUUAUAACUCUUUAAGAUUAAUGCAUUGCAUGCUCAGCCUCAGCAAACUUAUCAAUCAAUGUUUGCAUACCCGAAAAAGAGACUAAAAAGAAAAACAGGAAUUAAAGAACAACUAAUAUAAGCAAUUCCUUACUUGAAAAGCUUGAUAUCACAUUUCAGAAUAAAAAUAAACAUAACAAAGUUUCCUUACCCAAAUUUACAUGAACAUCAUCAUCAAAUUUGAUGCCAUGGGAUAGGGACUCCCCCAUUUCCCUCGAGCCCCCUCACCUACAAAAUUCUGCACCCCCCUUGGAAAAAUCUGUAGUAAAAAUAAAUUUUUGUCUUGGCUGAAAAUUCCAAGUAGCCCUUUAUUGCUCUGGUAUGUAUAGUCCCAACAAACAAAUGAGAAGAUUUAUCAGAAUUUUUGAAAUAUAUUUUAAGACUAACAGGAUUGUGAAUAAACACCAACAAGAGCAUCAAAGGAACAAGAAAGAAACAUCACCAGCCUUAAGAAGUCUCCAUGCGUCUUUUCCUCUGCUUCAAUAGCUUUAUUAAGAAUUCCACCUGAUGUUGCACUAGUGAAAAUAUUAUAUUCAAUGAAUAAAUAAUUGGAAACUUCAAAGCCUGCAGUUAACUAAAUUACUAAUGACGAUUAAGAGAUUCACUCCGCAAAUUAUUCAAGAAACUUUUGCAGAUAAUAUUAAUUAGAUUUUGAAGCAAUUUUUCAAUAUUCUUUUCAUUCCCAUUGAAGGAUCAAGCAUUACGAGCCAAAAUGCAAACACAGGGCAUUACUUGAGUAGCAACUUAAUCAAUUGUCACAAGUUGUACAAGACUUUUCAAUCCAAAAGAAGGCUGAAUUGUAGAAUAAAAUGUAAUCCUAUCAUUAAAAGCCCAAACGAACAUUAUUAACUAGAUUUUUAAAUUUCUUGAAUCCUAAAACGGAGAAGCUCAUUCGUAUUAAGCUAUCAGUUCCGGCCUCACUGUUCUACUCAUCCCCGUCUCGCUCAAUUUAGCCGAUUAAUAAAGCAGCUCAAGAAAUGUUUCUAAAAUUUAAUAAAUGAGAAAAUUCUAUAAUGAAUUAUUGUAAUACUAAAACACAACAUUACCCAGAAAUGUAAUAGAACCUUUAACAAACACAUGGAAUGCAAAACCCAUAUGUAAAAAAUAUAUCAUUAAUGCAAGAGAAAAACAUGGAAUAUUUUGAAGCUCGUGUUGAAGAUUUUGAAGCUCGAUUUGAGAAAAACAAUCAAACAAAACAAUAAUGCAAAAAAAAAAAAAAAUUGAAACCCACAAAAAAAAAACCAUACUUAGGGUUUAAAAGAGAUGAGAACUUUGAAGCUCGUGUUGAAGAUAGUUGAGAUAACGGCGAAGCUCACCAUCACUUGCUAGAAAUCGCUGAGAAAUAGGUAAAGCUUGCUUGCGAAUGAGUGUGGCUUUCAGGGAUUCUUGAUGGCUAGGGUUUCGGCUGUCGUCGACAGGUAAGGUUUUGGUUUCGAUUUAGGACUGAAUUUGAUUCCGUUGUGUCAAAGAAAGACUGCGGCGGGUCAGCGGCGAGCCAAAGACAGUGAGGGUUGUCAUUGUCAGUGAGGAGCGAGCUACAUUUGAGAGAGAGAAGUUUUAGAGUAAUGAGUGAGUGUGGCCUUAACACUUGGGGAAAAAAGAGGUUGAAAUACUAAUAAAGGUGUGAAACAACGUCGUUUCACUUCUUUCUUUGUUUUGAUGUUGUUUUAUUUUUUAUUUUUUUUAUUUAGAAUUUUUAAAAUUUCGGUCAAAUCUAAAGUCAAAAUAAAAUUCUAUCAUAAUUUCUUGAUUGAGAAAAUAUAAAUUAUUAGUUGGUCAUAAGUAUUUGACAACAGUAAAUUCUAUCAUAUAUUUAUCAUAAAUUUUUGAUAGAAAAAAUUUCUGUCACGUGUAUGUCAUACUUAUAAGAUAUAAAGCCUU